GCGAGACCUUCGGGUCUAGCGGCGGACGGGUGAGUAACGCGUGGGAACGUACCCUCUUCUGCGGAAUAGCCACUGGAAACGGUGAGUAAUACCGCAUACGCCCUUCGGGGGAAAGAUUUAUCGGAGGAGGAUCGGCCCGCGUUGGAUUAGGUAGUUGGUGGGGUAAUGGCCUACCAAGCCUACGAUCCAUAGCUGGUUUUAGAGGAUGAUCAGCCACACUGGGACUGAGACACGGCCCAGACUCCUACGGGAGGCAGCAGUGGGGAAUCUUAGACAAUGGGCGCAAGCCUGAUCUAGCCAUGCCGCGUGUGUGACGAAAGGCCUUAGGUCGUAAAGCACUUCGCCUGUGAAUGAUAAUGACAGUGC
RNAcentral lists this ribosomal RNA (366 nucleotides) under uncultured bacterium. RNAcentral describes it as "bacterial SSU rRNA". It matches the Rfam family "Bacterial small subunit ribosomal RNA", at positions 66 to 460 of the family's 1533-position model. The record is from RNAcentral.